GAGCUACACUGUUAAGGACCAAAUCUCAACAUGGAUUUUGGGGUGGGGAAAAUCACUUUGAAAUUGGGGCAGAUGGGAACCCGAGAGGGAGGUCACAUGGGGGGAGCUCACGUGUGCAGUGCCAUAGAAUGCCACGUGGAAGCACUUUCUCCCCAGCUCCGUGCUCCUGGCUCACAGGGAAGGAGAGACUGCACCUACAGAGACAAAAUGAAAGUGGAAUUCUCCAGAGAGCCUCAAGGAGCAAGGCAACUGGAACAGACCAGCAGGUGCCGUGAUUUGCAGGGAGAGUGCAGGAUUCUGCUCCCAAACAUGAGUCCUUCAAAAGGCAACACCUGCAUGUGCAAGGACACACCUUGCCUUGGACACUGCCCCGAACUGAAAACCCCAGAAGAAAGCCUCACAUUCAAAAAUCACAAAAUUUCCUUUUGCAUUUUUCCUUUCCUUGUUCUCUUCAUCAGUUUAUUGGGGUGUAAGGAUUUUUUUUCUUGGUCCUUUUUCCUUGCUUUUUAAUCUCUUUUUCUUACCUCCUUUUCCUCCCUUUUCAUUUUUCUCUCUUUUUACUCCUGAUAUAAUUUCAUUUUUUUUUCUCUCCCCACAUUUUUUUUUUUUGGAGACAAGGUCUUGCUUUGUACUUCAGGCUGACCUUCAGUUCACCGUGUAACCCAGGCUGUCUUUAUUUAUUUAUUGUUUUGCAGGGGGGUUGGGUGGGUACCAGGGAUAGAACUUGGGUCCUUGUGCUUGUGAAGGACAUGGUGGCACCCCUGAGCUAAAUGUCCGGCCCCUCCCGGGCUGUCUUGAACUCACAGCCUGUCUCAGCCUCUUGAGUCCUGGGGUUACCAGCGUGUGCGGCUAUGCUUAGCAUCCCUCUUUUUCUUUCUAAAUUAAAACAAUUAAAUAUUACAGUAAACAACAUAUCUCUCUCUUUCCUUCCUUCCUUCUUUAUUUCAUUCAUUUUUGUGGUACCAGGGAUCGAACUCAGGACCUCGCACUUGCCAGGCAGGUGUGGCACCACUGAGCUACAUCCCCGGCCUUUUUUUUUUUUCAUAGCACAACAUUUAUUGGAACGUUUUAGGCCUACAUAGUGACGGCACUCAUCAGAGGGAACGUCAGCCUGUGCACUGUACAUCCUGUCCCUUCUUUCCUAUCCACCCUUCCCUCAGGCCCCCUUCUCUCCCUAUGUACAAAAGCUUGGUUUCCAUUUUUCCUUCUAUUUUCUUGUUUCUCCUUGUCCCUCCCUUCCUUUCUCCUCCCUCCUCCCCAUCCCCCUUCCCACGGGAACAUUUUCUUCCCAUUUCCCAACCUCUAUUACACAUUUCAGUCCUUAUUUCCACUUUGGGUUUCUCACACCAGAGAAACAAUGCGGUAUUUAAACGUGUGUGCCUAAUUUAUUCCACUUAAGAGUAAGGUCUCAAGGUCCGUCCAUGUAGCUAUGAAUGUCUGAAGCUCAUCCUUCUUUAUGGCAGAAUAGUACUCCCUUGUUUAAAA
This 1485-nucleotide long non-coding RNA is filed under the name Fukomys damarensis (Damara mole-rat). RNAcentral describes it as "lncRNA (ENSFDAG00000029182.1)". Lineage: Eukaryota; Metazoa; Chordata; Mammalia; Rodentia; Bathyergidae. The record is from RNAcentral.